RNAcentral lists this ribosomal RNA (483 nucleotides) under uncultured bacterium. RNAcentral describes it as "partial 16S ribosomal RNA". It matches the Rfam family "Bacterial small subunit ribosomal RNA", at positions 28 to 507 of the family's 1533-position model. The record is from RNAcentral.
GACGAACGCUGGCGGCGUGCUUAACACAUGCAAGUCGAACGCUGAAGCUCAGCUUUUGUUGGGUGGAUGAGUGGCGAACGGGUGAGUAACACGUGAGUAACCUGCCUCCUUCUUUGGGAUAACGCCAGGAAACGGGUGCUAAUACUGGACAUCCACUGGUCUUCGCGUGGGGGCUGGGGGAAAGGGGUUUUCUGGUGGGGGAUGGGGUCGCGGCCUAUCGGCUUGUUGGGGGGGUGAUGGGCUAACAAGGCUUUGACGGGUAGCCGGCCUGAGGGGGUACCCGGUCACAUAGGCACUGAGCUACGGCCCACGCUCCGACGCGGGGCGGCAGUUGGGACUAUUGCACAAUGCGCGCACGCCUGAUGCCGCGUCGCCGCGUGAGGGCUGGGGGCCUUCGAGUUGUUUUCCUCUUUCGCACAUGCUCCAGCCGCAACCAUGGUUGUGGUGACGGUAGUGGGUAAAGAAGCGCCGGCUAACUACGUG